This 117-nucleotide ribosomal RNA is filed under the name Limnonectes ibanorum (rough-backed river frog). RNAcentral's name for it is "partial large subunit ribosomal RNA". The record is from RNAcentral. Lineage: Eukaryota; Metazoa; Chordata; Amphibia; Anura; Dicroglossidae.
AGCUUUAAACCCAAUGAUAACCUCUCUCUAAGUACCCCUUAAAGAUAUAGAGGACCUAUAAAUUGGUUUUAGGUUGGGGUGACCGUGGAGUAAAACAAAACCUCCUUGACGAAUAGG